Molecule: long non-coding RNA, 3671 nt
Filed under: Homo sapiens (human)
Lineage: Eukaryota; Metazoa; Chordata; Mammalia; Primates; Hominidae
Description: HSALNT0056253
Source: RNAcentral
CUUUUGCGGGCAACUUUCCACUCUCCUGUGCUGACUGAAACGAAGUAUGACACCAGUCUUGCCCAGGCAAGCUGCUUCUUGUGAAUAGGAAGUGAACAACCCUGGAUUCCAGGCCAGGGGGAGAGAGAUAUGAACUCAUCAGCAGAAAUGUGAGUUCUUCCCAGCUUCUCCGUGCUGAUACCCCAUGGUUCUCCUACCACCAGAUGCUACUGAGGCUAAACUGACUGGACUGAGGAAAAAUAUCUGUGGGGAAAACUUUCUUUCAGAAUCCAACUUUGAACCAGAGAAAUCCAUUCUCUUGAAGCUGUCUGCUGUGGAGAAGUUGGCCUUACCAAUCUGCCUUUGAAGUUCAAGUUAUACAGGAUCUGCGAGGCUACCUGUGAAUGAAUGGUUGGUUGGUCACUACUUGCAAGUUUUUCAGGAGCUCCUGAAAGAUUACUGCAUAAAUAAGGGAAGAUGGAGACCAGACCUCUGGCUACUGUUGCUGCCACCACUACAGAUACCACCUUCACCCUUAUGAACCCCCUAUUUACUGAACAUUCUCUAUAUGCCAGAAUAAACUUUUUAGAAAAUUUCCGAGGAAGUUUGGAAAUUGACUGCAUGGCAAGAUAGCAGAAGAAUGUGCAGCAUUUUGCUAUCACAUACAGUGAGGUACAAAUAAGGGCCAUUCAGAUGGGCUCCAAACAAGCAUCUCUCCAGCUGUGAAAAGAAGGCGCUGCUUUGGGAGACUAUGCAGGCUUUGGAAAUUAAGUAGAAGAAAAAUCUGAACACAUGGGAGAAGAUCCCUAGCAGCCAUCUCCUCUGGCUUCCCCGGUCCACACAAUACCUAGAAUCAAGCUCCAGGAGAUCAGUAUGCUGACUGGUGACUUUUAAAUAAAAAUAAAAUCAAACACCUGUGCAUCAGGCAACAUGAACUGCUGGAGUUUCCACACGGAUCCUGCUACAGGUCCAGCUUGCUCAUAAAGAUGGGUUCAUUUCUCAAGUGAAAUAUAGAGGAGACUUAUUAGAGUAGCAGCGACAUGAUAAGUGAAUAUUCUGCCAGCUUUUUUUUCCUCCUUUUAUAUAAGUUGAAUGCUGUCUCUAGUCUCUUCAAGUAGAAUUCUGAUUUAAAAGAAAGAAGAAAAGAGGAGAGAAGAAGAUGGGAAGAAAAAAAAAGAAGGAUUGUUAUCUCUGGCUGGAAACAAGAAAUCUCUAGACAUGCACUUCCUAGAGCCCACUAAUGUCUUUACCUCUGACUUGACUAAUUUUCAUUGGAAUUUUAGUUUGGUUGCUUCCCUGUGAUCUCAUUAGGACAUCAUGAUUUAUGUGCCUCCAUUACAAGAGCACCAGUUGUUAGUCUUAUUCUCACCCAGCCUCACCUCACCUCCCAAAAAACAGUUAAAAAAUUUUUAAAUAACUUCAUGUAAAGUUUAUAUACACACACACACACACACACACACACACACAUACAUACAAUACACAUACACAUUAUGUAUAUAUAUAUAUAUAUGUAUGUAUUUGGUUGCUUUUUAUUUGUAAUUAUUGUUUUUAUUUUUCUAUGUCGUAACUCCAUGCAGCCAUUUGAGAUAAUUAAGAUAAUUCAGUGGCAAACUAUGUGAAGGUGGUCAAUGUUCAAUACUCUUGUUUGCAGUCUGUUAGCAUUCUAAUCUCCAGAAUUAUUUUAUUACUACUACUAUGACUACCACUGCAAUCAUCAUCCUUAUAGUUAUUAUUAAUCACAAUGAUUAUUAAUGAUGAUGAUAACAAUCCUUACUUCUUUUUUGAUUUCAUCUUCCUCUCCUUGCACAUUUAUUUUCGUGGUUGCCUGUUUCUUCUGCACUAGUUUUUGUUCUUCAGAGUGUUUGCUUAACUGCCAUUCCAUUUUAAUAGCGAGUUUUCUCUUAUUACAUUAUGUGAUGGAGCACUGAUAUACGGUUUUUUCAUGAAAUAGGCAAUGAACAAAUACCAUAUGACCCCCAACCUCAACUCUCCAUCUCCUUCCAACUCACUUCAGUUUCAUUCUCCAGAAAAGUAGAAACCUUGAAGUGUUUCAUAUGUUUCAUUCAAAUUAUUUUAUAUACACACACACACAAAUAUUUUUACGCAGAGGGGCAUAUAUUAUGCAUCAUAUUCUGAAAAUAUCUUGUUUCAUCGAACUCUACAAUGUAUGUCUUUCCAUGUCAUGAGUACUUCAUUCUUUUUACCAAUUUUUCCUUUCUGAUGUAAGGUAGCAUCAACUUAUAGUCAACAAUUUUAAAAUCAGAUUUUUGUUCUUGGAUUUUGAAACUACAAAUGAACACAUACUCAUUUUAGAAGUAAAAAUUAUAUAGAAAUAUAUUGACUGCCCCCUCCUCCAAUUUUAUCCCUUUGUAAUACCCAUGUUAUUCGUAGGUUAAUGGGUUAGCAAGGAAUGAGAAUGCCCAUUUUUAUAAAGACUUAUCAUCACUGACGGUUAUCAAUCUUUGAUUUUUCUAACUGGAUGAGUGAAAAGAUGUUCUCAUUUUUCCCUAAAGUCAUCUUUAAUUAGUCAUUUACAUUUCCUAUUCCAUAAUUUUUCUUUUGAUUACUUUUGUCUACUUAAUGUUGAAUUGCUUUUUUUCAAUUUAUAUGUGCAUGUUUUACAUGAGCAAUAUUAUUCCUUUUUUGCAUUUAGAUGGUUACUCACUGUCCAUUGUUUGUCUUUUAAGUUAUGUUGGGUAUCUUUGUCAUGCUGAAAUUCUUAAUUUUCUGUAUAUACAGAGAAAAUAUCUGAAAUUUUAAUUUAAAUGUUAUAUAAAGUAACAUUUUAAUGUCAUAUAAAAUUCAGGCACCAAUUUUAUGUUUCCUUAACUUCAUCUCAAUGUAUUCUUUAUUUGCUCCUUUUCAGAUUCUUGGGAAGUGAAGCUCCUCCUAUUUGCAAAGAAAAACUCCUUCCCUUGAAAUUCAGACACACAACAUCCCUACCUUGCAUCCUUUUGAACCUAUAGUUGCUUGACAUAAAGUUUUUUUUUAAUGUCCAUGUUGUAGAAAUAUUUUUGUGAUUCUAUACUUAAAUUCUACUUACAUUCAUUGUAACCAGAAACAACUCUAAUUAUACAUUUUGGAAAGUAUUGAGAUUGUGAGCUAUUCUAAGAACAUUUACAUGACUGUUCUAUGGAAACUUUUAAAGCAAAUAUGCUCUCCUUUUACAUCAUACAGAAUUAUGUACAUAUCUAUCUAUAUAUACAUAACUAUCUUUAUUUAUAUCAGACACCUAUAGAAUCUAUUUCUGUCAUUGUUACAUGUGUCUUUCUUUACUUCUCCUGUUGUAGACUUAGGUAAGUGAAUAACAUUGUCUACUUAUUUCUCCUAUUGUUUUGCUUUAUAAAUGUUGACUGCAUGCUACUUGGUACAUAGACCUUUAUAAAUGUAAAAUAUUUAUUGUGAAUUUUACCUCUUCAUAUUUUUUAUGAAUGCCGACUUCUUCAAACAUAAGUUUACCUACUUUUGUAGGGGGUGUGUGUGUGUGUGUCUGUGUGUGUUGGUAUUGAACAUUAUUUCUGUUUAGCCAUUUGACUAAAACCAAAACAAAUGAGAUAUUAUGGUUAUAGUAAGUGUGUAUGUGUGUGUGUAUGUGUGUGCAUGUGCAUGCAUGUGUGACCAUCUCCUGAUCAUUCAACUUUGCACUUUAAUUGUACUAUAUUGUUAUUUGACUUAACAAAACUUUAGUAAAA